CAUAUAUUAAAAUUGCUGCAGUUAAAAAGCUCGUAGUUGGAUUUCUGUGAGACUUGUUUUGUUCGGCCUGCGGGUCGGGCGAAUCACUUUUCACAUCCUUCUGUUAACCUUACACUCCUUCACCGGUGUGUCUGUGGGCUCAGAUACUUUACCUUGAGUAAAUUAGAGUGUUUCAGGCAAGCUUUCGCUUGAAUACAUUAGCAUGGAAUAAUAGAAAAGGACUUCGUUUCAUUUCAUUGGUUAUGAGCGGAGUAAUGAUUAAUAGGGAUAGUUGGGGGCAUUAGUACUUAAUUGUCAGAGGUGAAAUUCUUUGAUUUGUUAAAGACUAUCUGAUGCGAAAGCGUUUGCCAAGAAUGUUUUCAUUAAUCAAGAACGAAAGUUAGGGGAUCAAAGACGAUCAGAUACCGUCCUAGUCUUAACUAUAAACUAUGCCGACUUGGGAUUGGAGGCGUGCACUUUCCGCCUUCAGCACCAAACGAGAAAUCAAAGUCUUUUGGGUUCUGGGGGG
Molecule: ribosomal RNA, 508 nt
Filed under: uncultured eukaryote
Lineage: Eukaryota
Description: SSU rRNA
Rfam family: Eukaryotic small subunit ribosomal RNA
Source: RNAcentral